ACAAAUUGGACUCAAAACACAAAGAGAGAGAGAAAACAUUCCAAUCUAGGACUGGAGGAGGGCAUUGCUAUCUAAUACAUUACAUCUUUGAGUCCUGCACUCUCAUCUCUCUGUCUCUCUGCCUCAGACAGUCUGGCUAUUACCUUGACCAAGUCCCUUACGUUGGUGGCCAGCGGGACGUCGGCCGCAGCUGGGGCCCUCUCCAGCCCGAUGUUGGAGCAGUUGACGACGCAGGAUGGCUGGGGCCCCGCCAGCGCGCAGCUGCAGUUAACGGGACAGGGGCUGCAACUCCUGCCGCCGUCCCCUUGCGGCCCGGAGCCCCAUGCCUCCAGGCAGCAGAGCGCCACAAGCAGACUGGAAAAGAAGCUAAACCUCGGGAAGCAGACGCCAUGUUUUCGCUUGGAUAAAGUCUGUCCAUUUCCACAAGGCAUAGCUCACUCACAUCUCAUCGCCUCUGAUGGUGCAAGUCCUCUCAGUCUGUAUUUCCUGAAGCAGUGCAGGGCACGUGUUGGAGGUGUUUCCUGGGUAUUUGACUUGGCCGGGGCCCAGCCAUCCUCCCUGCUGGCGGCUGGUGCUCUGUACAAAGAAAAGAAGAGUUCCACAAUAACUCUUGUACUUUCUCAUCCUCAUUGGCAGCAUUUCAUUUUCAUAUUUGAAGCAAAAUAUGUGUGAAUGGAAGAGUGGAUGGACCAAAUGUGAAAAUUUUGAAAAGUACAUAGAAAAAGAUAGCGAUAGACAUCACAGAGAAAAUUAUAGUGACUAUUCAUAGUGGCUUAAACAUCUGUGUCCCUUAAUCAGUAUAAAAAAAUGAUAAAACACGACACCCUAAAAUAUUUCCUAAGAAAAUUAAAGAGUCAAACACUGCCAAUGAGUUGUACUUUGAUGUCAUGAGGCAGUGCGUCCUGUAGAGUGGACAUUUCAUUUUGGGAUGACACUCUUCAUUUGGUGGCAGGUGUUUGAGAAUGAAGCUUUACACACUUUCCUACCAGAGAAUCUUAUCUCAUGGUGGAAGUGACACAUCUCUAAAAGAUACAGAGGCCUUUUACACAGGGAGAUUUUUGGGGCUUUUACAGUUAACAGGGAAAAGGAGGGAGGGAAGUGACACAAAGGUUGAGACAAUCCAUGUCAAGUUUAAUUGCAUGAUGCAUAAUUACAGUUAGAGUCUCAAAGGGCUUCACAAGCCCACAUUAUUAAUAGACACAAUAUAACUCAUCACAUUCAAGCACAGAGAAAAGGGUGUUGACCACUGAGUCACCAGAGUGCUCCCUAAAAAUAGACACAGUGAUUUUCUUUUAUUAUGUUCAGGUUGGUAAGAUUUUGUUGAAUUGAAUAAAAUCAUCUGCCUAUUAAGUUAAUUUGACAAAAUUCUGCUCUUCAAAUGACAGACUCUGAACAAAAUAAAACAAACAAUAUACAAUUAUAUAUGUUAGGUUAACGUUAACAUGCAAACAUGCUAACAAUAAACCUGAUAACAUACUGAUGUGUAAAAGCGCUUAGGACAUACUGUUAAUCAUGUAUAAUGCAGGUAUACGUUCUCUAUCGCAGUGUGACAGCAUUAUUUGCUAAUUCACACUAACGCAACGUACAGUGAAAGUGAAGUUGUACUGAAAUGACUGUAGUUCUGCUGGUAUUUCGUCAUAAACCAAAGUAUAGAACAAAUUAAAAUUACGACUAGAUGAUGGUGCUACUGUAGAUGAAAAGGGAAUGGACCAAAGUUAUUAAAGUUCAUCCUUAGAGGGGCAUACAUAUUCCAAAUUUCACGGCAAUUCAUCCAUCAAUACAUUUCACUCAAAUGUCAACCUUAU
Molecule: long non-coding RNA, 1805 nt
Organism: Etheostoma spectabile (orangethroat darter)
Lineage: Eukaryota; Metazoa; Chordata; Actinopteri; Perciformes; Percidae
Exons: 3
Source: RefSeq, a predicted model, not a curated record